GACGAACGCUGGCGGCAUGCCUAAUACAUGCAAGUCGAGCGAACAGAUGAAGUGCUGGCACUUCUGACGUUAGCGGCGAACGGGUGAGUAACACGUAAGGAAUCUACCUAUAAGCGGGGGAUAACAUUCGGAAACGGGUGCUAAUACCGCAUAAUAUCUUCUUCCGCAUGGAAGAAGAUUGAAAGACGGCUCUGCUGUCACUUAUAGAUGACCUUGCGGUGCAUUAGUUAGUUGGUGGGGUAACGGCCUACCAAGACGAUGAUGCAUAGCCGACCUGAGAGGGUGAUCGGCCACAUUGGGACUGAGACACGGCCCAAACUCCUACGGGAGUCAGCAGUAGGGAAUCUUCCGCAAUGGGCGAAAGCCUGACGGAGCAAUGCCGCGUGAGUGAAGAAGGCCUUCGGGUCGUAAAACUCUGUUAUAAGAGAAGAACAAAUUGUAGAGUAACUGCUACAGUCUUGACGGUAUCUUAUCAGAAAGCCACGGCUAACUACGUGCCAGCCGCCGCAGUAA
Molecule: ribosomal RNA, 513 nt
Filed under: uncultured bacterium
Lineage: Bacteria
Description: partial 16S ribosomal RNA
Rfam family: Bacterial small subunit ribosomal RNA
Source: RNAcentral